This is a long non-coding RNA of Panicum hallii, 2520 nucleotides long. RefSeq lists it as uncharacterized. NCBI's taxonomy places the organism in Eukaryota, Viridiplantae, Streptophyta, Magnoliopsida, Poales, Poaceae. The record is from RefSeq and is a predicted model, not a curated record. The transcript is spliced from 4 exons.
CCACGGUACAUCGAAAGAAAAAAAAAAAAGAGAGCAGCUGCGGCGGACGGCGGCGACGGCCGGUGGCCAGGAAGAAGAUGCCGCACGACGGCCUCGCUUGAGGCCUCGAGGUGGAGGCUGCGCUUGCGGCCGAGGCAGCGUGGGAACUGGAGACUGUUGCAUCCAUGGCUAUUGGAUCCUUGGAUAUGGAUGUGGACUCACCACCGCAUCUCCCCAUGGAGACCUCUGCUAACAAGUUUUCCCUUCUAUCCUUCUUGUGUCAUUGGUUCCAUUACUCUUUUCAUAUCUAUUCAUUUUUUUCUUGGAUUGUAUUCAGCCAUGAACCCUAACUCAGAUCGAGAUUAGGCUUAGUUUGCAAAGAAAGGGAUGGGUGCAAGAUUCAAUCCAUAGUAAUCCCUGCCAUGUUCUUAGUUCUUGUUUGGAAUUUAGCUGUGGAAUUCGAGAACUGUAUCUUUGAUUUAUCCUUCAAAAGAGGGACAUAUUUUUCCCCUUCCAUUGCUGAUUGUGAUAUACACUACCUGAAUGAUUGAGUAUGGUGGAAGAAAUCCCUGUGUUCAUUAUCCGUUAGUCUAUGUUUCUUCAAAAUAUGUUUUAUUUCAGAGUUGUUCACUUUGUUCAGCUAGCAGGUUUGUUUCGGUCAUCUUAUCAGGAGCUUGACUAUCAUUCUGGUUGGUCUAUUCGCUUCUAGACUAACAUACGAAACCAUGAAUGUCACAGACAUUUCUAGCCUAUGACAUAAUGUUGACAAUAAUUAUUUCAUGUUAUACUGGAUCGUGAAGAACAUUCUUUGGAAGUACUUGCAGCAAAUCCCCUAGAAGAUAGCAGCGAGAGAAUGAAUAGGUUAAUUGUUAUGCAGAAAAGGUUAUUGGAAGCAAAGAAGCGAAAGAGAUCAAUUUCAUCAGUUCACACAUCAAAUUCUGUACAUUUGGAUACUCAGUUAACUAGCUCUCCCACUCCGGUCUCUCCAGUUCAGAAAAGAAGUAAAAGAGUUGGUUCAAGAAAAUCACUAGUUUGGAAGCAUUUCGAUACAGGAUUAAGGGGUCAAAGCAUUUCGAUACAGGAUUAAAAGGGGUCAAGAUCCUGUUGCAGUGUGCAAAUAUUGUGAACAAGUAUAUGCAUGUGAUAGAUCCACACAUGGAACUAGCACCUUAUGGUACCAUCUAAGAAGUUUAUGCCCACAAGAGCCACUCAAGGGUCAGGACAUGCAAAGGAAGGGCCAAGGGACACCCAAGCAAUCUUACAGUAUUGAAGACUGCCGCAAAGCACUCGCUGAGAUGGUAAUAAUUGAUGAGAUGCCUUUUAAUCUGUUGAAGGUGAAGGAUUUAGAAGGUAUUCCAAAGUGCUACAGCCGAGGUUUGACCCACCUUCAAGAAUGACAGUAGCAAGGGAUUGCAUUCAAAGAUAUAUUGAGGAAAAGUCCAAAUUGAAGAAGAUUUUGAAGAAUCACAGAAUCUGCCUAACAACAGAUACUUGGACCUCCAAGCAAAACUUGAAUUAUAUGAGUCUAACAGCCCAUUGGAUUGAUGAUCACUGGAAGCUGCAGAAACGGAUCCUUAAUUUCUGUUCGGUUGCAGAUCAUAAAGGGGAGACACUUGGAAAACGGGUUGAAGAAUGUUUGCUGGAUUGGCGUACUGAUCGCCUAUUCACAGUCACAGUUGACAACGCAUCCUCCAAUGACAAGCUAAUUGAACACUUGAAGGGUGUGUGCGAAGACUGGAAUGGAGUUGUGUUAAAGAAUAAAUUUCUUCAUGUAAGGUGCUGCGCCCAUAUAGUCAACUUAGUCGUGAAGAGUGGACUCGAGGAACACAAUCACUCUAUCGAGAAGAUAAGAACUAAAGAGUUCGACAUUUUAGAUUACUGGAAAGUAAGCUCGAAUAAGUAUCCCGUACUCUCCCUUUUGGCAAAGGAUGUGCUAGCUGUUCUGGCUUCAACAGUUCCUUCGGAGUCAGCUUUUAGCACAGGUGGGCGUGUUAUAGAUCCUCUUCGCUGCAGUCUAUCAACUCACACCGUUGAAGCUUCGAUUUGCGCGCAAAGUUGGUUAGAGACAUCUCAAAGUAAAGUGAGUGCAAGAGAGGCUGCUGAAGAGAUUCAAACCUAUGAGAAGAUUAGAGAAGGCUAUAGUUUUGGUAAUUGAGUAGAAGUGCUGGCUUACGUGUCACAAUUGUUAACAGUAUUCUUUUCUUUUUAUUCAGAGUUUCUUUCAAAGAACUGCGUGGAUAACCAUCAACAGAUUGAUUUCACUGAGUUUGAAGGAUAGCAAUUUCUGACAAGGCGCAUAUUUUGUUUCUGACAAGAUUUCUUCGUUAUAUACUACGGGUAUGCAAGUACGAGAGUAUUCUUGGUGCAAUACAUCAACUUUAUGUGAAUGCAUUCGGAAAUUUCCUUAUAGUUUAGUUAACUUAAGCUAUUGUUAGAUUUAAGAAAUCUUUUGUAUGGAACAUGAUCAGUUCCCUAAGCAUGCUAUUCUCUUUUCGUGAGGGUGUUUUUUAUGUUGACUUAUUGCAAUUUUGGAUUGAAUCA